Molecule: ribosomal RNA, 186 nt
Filed under: uncultured bacterium
Lineage: Bacteria
Description: partial 16S ribosomal RNA
Rfam family: Bacterial small subunit ribosomal RNA
Source: RNAcentral
UACGGGAGGCAGCAGUGAGGAAUAUUGGUCAAUGGGCGCAAGCCUGAACCAGCCAUGUCGCGUGCAGGAUGACGGCCCUAUGGGUUGUAAACUGCUUUUUUACAGGAAUAAACUUUGCUACGUGUAGUAAACUGAAGGUACUGUAAGAAUAAGGAUCGGCUAACUCCGUGCCAGCAGCCGCGGUAA